RNAcentral lists this ribosomal RNA (1438 nucleotides) under Enterococcus mundtii. Its description in RNAcentral is "bacterial SSU rRNA". It matches the Rfam family "Bacterial small subunit ribosomal RNA". Lineage: Bacteria; Bacillati; Bacillota; Bacilli; Lactobacillales; Enterococcaceae. The record is from RNAcentral.
CGUGCCUAAUACAUGCAAGUCGAACGCUUCUUUUCCCACCGGAGCUUGCUCCACCGGGAAAAGAGGAGUGGCGAACGGGUGAGUAACACGUGGGUAACCUGCCCAUCAGAAGGGGAUAACACUUGGAAACAGGUGCUAAUACCGUAUAACAAUCGAAACCGCAUGGUUUCGUUUUGAAAGGCGCUUUACGGUGCCGCUGAUGGAUGGACCCGCGGUGCAUUAGCUAGUUGGUGAGGUAACGGCUCACCAAGGCCACGAUGCAUAGCCGACCUGAGAGGGUGAUCGGCCACAUUGGGACUGAGACACGGCCCAAACUCCUACGGGAGGCAGCAGUAGGGAAUCUUCGGCAAUGGACGAAAGUCUGACCGAGCAACGCCGCGUGAGUGAAGAAGGUUUUCGGAUCGUAAAACUCUGUUGUUAGAGAAGAACAAGGGUGAGAGUAACUGUUCACCCCUUGACGGUAUCUAACCAGAAAGCCACGGCUAACUACGUGCCAGCAGCCGCGGUAAUACGUAGGUGGCAAGCGUUGUCCGGAUUUAUUGGGCGUAAAGCGAGCGCAGGCGGUUUCUUAAGUCUGAUGUGAAAGCCCCCGGCUCAACCGGGGAGGGUCAUUGGAAACUGGGAGACUUGAGUGCAGAAGAGGAGAGUGGAAUUCCAUGUGUAGCGGUGAAAUGCGUAGAUAUAUGGAGGAACACCAGUGGCGAAGGCGGCUCUCUGGUCUGUAACUGACGCUGAGGCUCGAAAGCGUGGGGAGCAAACAGGAUUAGAUACCCUGGUAGUCCACGCCGUAAACGAUGAGUGCUAAGUGUUGGAGGGUUUCCGCCCUUCAGUGCUGCAGCUAACGCAUUAAGCACUCCGCCUGGGGAGUACGACCGCAAGGUUGAAACUCAAAGGAAUUGACGGGGGCCCGCACAAGCGGUGGAGCAUGUGGUUUAAUUCGAAGCAACGCGAAGAACCUUACCAGGUCUUGACAUCCUUUGACCACUCUAGAGAUAGAGCUUCCCCUUCGGGGGCAAAGUGACAGGUGGUGCAUGGUUGUCGUCAGCUCGUGUCGUGAGAUGUUGGGUUAAGUCCCGCAACGAGCGCAACCCUUAUUGUUAGUUGCCAUCAUUUAGUUGGGCACUCUAGCAAGACUGCCGGUGACAAACCGGAGGAAGGUGGGGAUGACGUCAAAUCAUCAUGCCCCUUAUGACCUGGGCUACACACGUGCUACAAUGGGAAGUACAACGAGUCGCGAAGUCGCGAGGCUAAGCUAAUCUCUUAAAGCUUCUCUCAGUUCGGAUUGUAGGCUGCAACUCGCCUACAUGAAGCCGGAAUCGCUAGUAAUCGCGGAUCAGCACGCCGCGGUGAAUACGUUCCCGGGCCUUGUACACACCGCCCGUCACACCACGAGAGUUUGUAACACCCGAAGUCGGUGAGGUAACCUUUUUGGAGCCAG